AACGAACGCUGGCGGCAGGCUUAACACAUGCAAGUCGAACGAGACCUUCGGGUCUAGUGGCGCACGGGUGCGUAACGCGUGGGAAUCUGCCCUUGGGUUCGGAAUAACAGUUAGAAAUGACUGCUAAUACCGAAUGAUGUCGUAAGACCAAAGAUUUAUCGCCCAGGGAUGAGCCCGCGUAAGAUUAGGUAGUUGGUGUGGUAAAGGCGCACCAAGCCGACGAUCUUUAGCUGGCUGAGAGGAUGAUCAGCCA
Molecule: ribosomal RNA, 253 nt
Filed under: uncultured bacterium
Lineage: Bacteria
Description: partial 16S ribosomal RNA
Rfam family: Bacterial small subunit ribosomal RNA
Source: RNAcentral